RNAcentral lists this ribosomal RNA (457 nucleotides) under uncultured bacterium. RNAcentral's name for it is "bacterial SSU rRNA". It matches the Rfam family "Bacterial small subunit ribosomal RNA", at positions 28 to 507 of the family's 1533-position model. The record is from RNAcentral.
GAUGAACGCUGGCGGUAUGCCUAACACAUGCAAGUCGUACGAGAGUUUUUAACUCUAGUGGCGGACGGGUGAGUAACACGUGAGAAUUUGCCUUUAGGAGGGGGACAACAAUUGGAAACGAAUGCUAAUACCCCAUAUGCUUUCGAGUGAAAUGGAUUUUAUCCGCCUAGAGAGAAGCUCGCGGCUGAUUAGCUUGUUGGUGGGGUAAAAGCCCACCAAGGCGACGAUCAGUAGCUGGUCUGAGAGGACGAUCAGCCACACUGGGACUGAGACACGGCCCAGACUCCUACGGGAGGCAGCAGUGGGGAAUUUUGGUCAAUGGGCGAGAGCCUGAACCAGCCAAGUCGCGUGAAGGAAGAAGGUUCUAUGGAUUGUAAACUUCUUUUGUAAGGGAAUAAAAAGAGUUACGUGUAACUUAUUGUAUGUACUUUACGAAUAAGGAUCGGCUAACUCCGUG